Long non-coding RNA from Oncorhynchus tshawytscha (Chinook salmon), 2687 nucleotides. The record is from Ensembl. Lineage: Eukaryota; Metazoa; Chordata; Actinopteri; Salmoniformes; Salmonidae.
UUACAGAUAGACAGAGGCAUACUCCAACACUCAGACAUCAUUUACAAAUGAAGCAUGUGUGUUUAGCGAGUCUACCAGAUCAGAGCCAGUAGGGAUGACCAGGGAUGUUCUCUUGAUAAGUACGUGAAUUUCACAAUUUUCCUAGUAUUUUUGGGUGUCAGGGAAAAUGUAUGGCGUAAAAAGUACAUUAUUUUAUUGAGGAAUGUAGUGAAGUAAAAGUUGUCAAAAUAUUACAGUAAAGUAGAGAUACCAAAAAAUAAACUACUAAAGUAGUACUUUAAAGUAUUUGUACUUAAGUACUUUACACCACUGAAGGAGAGAGACGGGAGAGGGACUUCCCUUAAUUGGAGUGACAGGUGUGACUGAGGGCUAGUGCUGUUCAUUAGGGUUCAUUCAGGUGCUUUGUGUUGUGUCUGGGCCCCUACCAUCACACAACCUUUUAAUAAGAACCAUCACACAUCUAUCCCAAUGUUGUCAGUUAGAGAAAGCUCACAGUAGACAGUGUUGUUAGUUAAAGAGAGAAAGCUCACAGUAGACAGUGUUGUCAGUAAAGAGAGAAAGCUCACAGUAGACAGUGUUGUUAGUUAAAGAGAGAAAGCUCACAGUAGACAGUGUUGUCAGUUAAAGAGAGAAAGCUCACAGUAGACAGUGUUGUCAGUUAGAGAGAGAAAGCUCACAGUAGACAGUGUUGUCAGUUAGAGAGAGAAAGCUCACAGUAGACAGUGUUGUCAGUUAGAGAGAGAAAGCUCACAGUAGACAGUGUUGUCAGUUAAAGAGAGAAAGCUCACAGUAGACAGUGUUGUCAGUUAGAGAGAGAAAGCUCACAGUAGACAGUGUUGUCAGUUAGAGAAAGCUCACAGUAGACAGUGUUGUCAGUUAAAGAAAGAAAGCUCACAGUAGACAGUGUUGUUAGUUAAAGAGAGAAAGCUCACAGUACACAGUGUUGUCAGUUAGAUAGAAAGCUCACAGUACACAGUGUUGUCAGUUAGAUAGAAAGCUCACAGUAGAUAUUUUUGUGAGGUAAUUAGAGCAGGUGAGAAUUAAGGCGUAAGGAUGUUUCAGUUCGGCGGGCGCCUAGCCGAUGUCGAACUGAGAGGAGACAUUACUGUGUGCUGACAGGAGACAUUACUGAGAGGAGACAUUACUGAGAGGAGACAUUACUGAGAGCUGAGAGGAGAGACAUUACUGAGAGGAGACAUUACUGAGAGGAGACAUUACUGAAAGGAGACAUUACUGUGUGCUGAGAGGAGAGACAUUACUGAGAGGAGACAUUACUGAGAGGAGACAUUACUGAGAGGAGACAUUACUGAAAGGAGACAUUACUGUGUGAUGAGAGGAGACAUUACUGUGUGCUGAGAGGAGACAUUACUGAGAGGAGACAUUACUGAGAGGAGACAUUACUGAGAGCUGAGAGGAGACAUUACUGAGAGCUGAGAGGAGACAUUACUGAGAGCUGAGAGGAGAGACAUUACUGAGAGGAGACAUUACUGAGAGGAGACAUUACUGAGAGGAGACAUUACUGAAAGGAGACAUUACUGUGUGCUGAGAGGAGAGACAUUACUGAGAGGAGACAUUACUGAGAGGAGACAUUACUGAGAGGAGACAUUACUGAAAGGAGACAUUACUGUGUGCUGAGAGGAGACAUUACUGUGUGCUGAGAGGAGACAUUACUGAGAGGAGACAUUACUGAGAGGAGACAUUACUGAGAGCUGAGAGGAGAGAAAUUACUGAGAGCUGAGAGGAGACAUUACUGAGAGCUGAGAGGAGAGACAUUACUGAGAGGAGACAUUACUGAGAGGAGACAUUACUGAGAGGAGACAUUACUGAAAGGAGACAUUACUGUGUGCUGAGAGGAGACAUUACUGUGUGCUGAGAGGAGACAUUACUGAGAGGAGACAUUACUGAGAGGAGACAUUACUGAGAGCUGAGAGGAGAGAAAUUACUGAGAGCUGAGAGGAGACAUUACUGAGAGCUGAGAGGAGACAUUACUGAGAGCUGAGAGGAGACAUUACUGAGAGGAGACAUUACUGAGAGCUGAGAGGAGACAUUACUGAGAGCUGAGAGGAGACAUUACUGAGAGCUGAGAGGAGACAUUACUGAGAGCUGAGAGGAGACAUUACUGAGAGGAGACAUUACUGUGUGCUGAGAGGAGACAUUACUGUGUGCUGAGAGGAGACAUUACUGUGUGCUGAGAGGAGACAUUACUGUGUGCUGAGAGGAGACAUUACUGUGUGCUGAGAGGAGACAUUAUAUAGAAUAUCAUUCCUAUCAGAGAGAAAGAGAAUAUCCACUGUCGUAGGAGUGUGAGUGUGUGUGUGUGUGUGUGUGUGAGGCGGUCUGUGCUCCGUGCACCAGGUCUGGUCUGUGCAGGUCCAGGUGUGCUGUUGACGUUUUAAUCAGGACUGAAUCAGCUAGAGAGAGGUUUCCCAGAGCUACCUCUGCUACAGUUACUGAACACACACACACACACACACACACACAAACAGUGACAGCGUAAAUCAAAUGUCCUAACGUGACUUACCACGCAACCACACUGCACCCUGUGGCCUCAAUGACAUCAGUCCAUAACCAAUAUCCAAUGGGUCAGAAAUGACUCCCCCUCCACAACCCCCCCCUGAAUACCAGAGGUCCGGUCACAUCAAACCUGUCAUCCCAACAUGACCUGGAAUCAGUCCAGACUAGACCAC